RNAcentral lists this ribosomal RNA (439 nucleotides) under uncultured bacterium. Its description in RNAcentral is "partial 16S ribosomal RNA". It matches the Rfam family "Bacterial small subunit ribosomal RNA", at positions 339 to 795 of the family's 1533-position model. The record is from RNAcentral.
CUACGGGGGGCUCCAGUGGGGAAUAUUGCACAAUGGGCGAAAGCCUGAUGCAGCAACGCCGCGUGGAGGAUGACACAUUUCGGUGCGUAAACUCCUUUUAUAUAAGAAGAUAAUGACGGUAUUAUAUGAAUAAGCACCGGCUAACUCCGUGCCAGCAGCCGCGGUAAUACGGGGGGUGCAAGCGUUACUCGGAAUCACUGGGCGUAAAGAGCAUGUAGGCUGGAUGACAAGUUGGAAGUGAAAUCCUAUGGCUUAACCAUAGAACUGCUUCCAAAACUGUCUUCCUAGAGUAUGGGAGAGGUAGAUGGAAUUUCUGGUGUAGGGGUAAAAUCCGUAGAGAUCAGAAGGAAUACCGAUUGCGAAGGCGAUCUACUGGAACAUUACUGACGCUCAGAUGCGAAAGCGUGGGGAGCAAACAGGAUUAGAUACCCUCGUAGUC